This 87-nucleotide signal recognition particle RNA is filed under the name Bacteroidota bacterium. RNAcentral describes it as "Bacteroidetes bacterium (groundwater metagenome) partial signal recognition particle sRNA small type". It matches the Rfam family "Bacterial small signal recognition particle RNA", at positions 14 to 97 of the family's 97-position model. Rfam says of the family: The signal recognition particle (SRP) is a universally conserved ribonucleoprotein involved in the co-translational targeting of proteins to membranes. Archaeal SRP consists of a 7S RNA and homologues of the eukaryotic SRP19 and SRP54 proteins. The record is from RNAcentral. Lineage: Bacteria; Pseudomonadati; Bacteroidota.
GCAACAAGACGUUGCUCAACCCCGCCAGGUCCGGAAGGAAGCAACGGUCGGCAAAGAGUUUUGUGUGACGCAGGGUCGCUUGACCUC